This 1333-nucleotide long non-coding RNA is filed under the name Calidris pugnax (ruff). RNAcentral describes it as "lncRNA (ENSCPUG00000016242.1)". The record is from RNAcentral. Lineage: Eukaryota; Metazoa; Chordata; Aves; Charadriiformes; Scolopacidae.
AUGACAGAGGAGAACCACCCACUAAAGCUAGAGGAAAGAAGGGGUUAUGCAUUAAGGGAAAGCCACUACAUUAAACAUUGGUGCUAUCUAAAAAUUAUGUUAAGAAUUUGGAACCUGCUACACCUGCGUGUGCUGCAGUCAUGCCUGUUGCCACUGAGCAAGACGGAAGGAGCUUCCUCACUGGAUGCAGUGUGCUCAAGUGUGUGCUGUUGCCUGGAAGAAGAGCAAAGACUUCUGAAAAAUCAGCUGUGGCGAGGCAGGUACUCAUCUGGGGACACUGACUCUUUGGUGACAUCUCCAAGCAGAGCAUUGUUGGGCUGUGCAGCCGGGGUCACAGCUCUAAGUGCUGCAGGGAGGGUGACUGUGCCUGUAAUGUCUCCAUCAGCCAUCUCUCCUGACGGAGGGGUUCAGCAGUGGGAGUUUGAGGUACAUCCCCAGCUCUCAGGUCAGCAGUGACGGUGUGGCAGACCCACCAAGCUGGAUUUCAGCUGGAAGAGGAGAAGGAGUUGACUGCGAAUGUCCCUGGGUAAAUGAGAGCUGUCAGAGAUUUGCAGUAGAUGUGGAUCGUAUCAGUGUGGCCGUUGCAGCUGCAGCAAAAGUGGAUCAUGGAGCAUCUGGAGAAGAUAAAGGGAUUUUUCUUCAUGGAAGCGACGCUGUCAAAAACCUUUUGAUGCCAGAAGUGAGGAGACACACAUCUGUUGUCUGGAACUUUUCAUUAUACAUGACACACUCCCUGCAACAUUUAAGAAGUGUGUCAGGCAGGACAGGGACUCUCCUUGGCUCUUCCACAUUGCAGCAACGCUUCCUGAUCACACACCCUGCACGCUGGGCCAGGACCUAAAUGGGAUGGUGCUGUUGGUAACCUGAGGCUUGGGAAGCCCUUCUGCAUUUUUCUACUGUUCCACAUGAAUUUUUGCCCCAUGAAGGUGAUGUAUUGAGCUAUUUCUUUUCACCAGAUAGGCUUGGAGACAGCCUAAUGUUUCCAAGAUUGGGUGUUCCUCUUCUUGUCUUUGCCUGCUGAGCAGGUGUUGGUAGGAGAAAGGACAUGAAUCUUACCCAUGGGACUCUUAACCACGUGCUGCAGUGAAAGAACUCGGAUAUCAAUGCACUUCAACUUUAUAAUAGAUCUGUUUAUCUGUUAUUUAUUACUGAAGACACUUUUUUUCCAGGCCAACUUAUUAGAAGUUCAUACAGAUUGUGAGGCAGUCAGUUUCCAUCUGUAGGAUGGGACUGUACACCACUGUUGGAGAACUGUUUUUUUGUGGCUUUGGAGAAAGCGCAACACAAAAAUACGCAUUUAACUGUUGACGUGUGGACCUUUAACCAUGGCACC